RNAcentral lists this ribosomal RNA (490 nucleotides) under uncultured bacterium. Its description in RNAcentral is "partial 16S ribosomal RNA". It matches the Rfam family "Bacterial small subunit ribosomal RNA", at positions 30 to 507 of the family's 1533-position model. The record is from RNAcentral.
AUUGAACGCUGGCGGCAGGCCUAACACAUGCAAGUCGAACGGUAACAGGAAGCAGCUUGCUGCUUCGCUGACGAGUGGCGGACGGGUGAGUAAUGUCUGGGAAGCUGCCUGAUGGAGGGGGAUAACUACUGGAAACGGUAGCUAAUACCGCAUAAUGUCGCAAGACCAAAGAGGGGGACCUUCGGGCCUCUUGCCAUCGGAUGUGCCCAGAUGGGAUUAGCUUGUUGGUGGGGUAACGGCUCACCAAGGCGACGAGCCCUAGCUGGUCUGAGAGGAUGACCAGCCACACUGGGACUGAGACACGGUCCAGACUCCUACGGGAGGCAGCAGUGGGGAAUAUUGCACAAUGGGCGCAAGCCUGAUGCAGCCAUGCCGCGUGUAUGAAGAAGGCCUUCGGGUUGUAAAGUACUUUCAGCGGGGAGGAGGGGAGUAAAGUUAAUACCUUUGCUCAUUGACGUUACCCGCAGAAGAAGCACCGGCUAACUCCGUG